This 944-nucleotide small RNA is filed under the name Pan troglodytes (chimpanzee). RNAcentral describes it as "retained intron". The stretch from base 440 to 526 matches the Rfam family "Small nucleolar RNA SNORD35". Lineage: Eukaryota; Metazoa; Chordata; Mammalia; Primates; Hominidae. The record is from RNAcentral.
UCUCCUUACGUCACUUCCUCUCCAGCCCCUGCGUAAUCGAUAAGGAAACCCGGACGCUGCUGCAGCUUUCUUUUUUUCAGGCGGCCGGGAAGAUGGCGGACAUUCAGACUGAGCGUGCCUACCAAAAGCAGCCGACCAUCUUUCAAAACAAGAAGAGGGUCCUGCUGGGAGAAACUGGCAAGGAGAAGCUCCCGCGGUACUACAAGAACAUCGGUCUGGGCUUCAAGACACCCAAGGAGGCUAUUGAGGGCACCUACAUUGACAAGAAAUGCCCCUUCACUGGUAAUGUGUCCAUUCGAGGGCGGAUCCUCUCUGGUAAGUGCGGGGGUUACUGGUGUCUGGGGCCUGAAAUACUGAAAGAAGGGUCUUGGGGCCCAGACUCCUGGGUCCUGGGUGAGAGGGGUGGUUAGGAAUGCAAACUUGUAGGUCUAGGUAAAUUGGCAGAUGAUGUCUGUUUUCACGAUGGUCUUCAGAUGCCCACGUGGGCACUGCUGAGAAAGCCACUUGGUAAAACUGAUGCCGGAAAUGGGGCUUUUUGGGAUCCCAGCUCAGCUGCUUCUGAGUCCCAGCAUGCCCUGGGUUACCUGUGGCCCUCUUUCCCAUGGGACCUGACCUGUGAUCGGCCCCCGCUCCUAGGCGUGGUGACCAAGAUGAAGAUGCAGAGGACCAUUGUCAUCCGCCGAGACUAUCUGCACUACAUCCGCAAGUACAACCGCUUCGAGAAGCGCCACAAGAACAUGUCUGUACACCUGUCCCCCUGCUUCAGGGACGUCCAGAUCGGUGACAUCGUCACAGUGGGUGAGUGCCGGCCUCUGAGCAAGACAGUGCGCUUCAACGUGCUCAAGGUCACCAAGGCUGCCGGCACCAAGAAGCAGUUCCAGAAGUUCUGAGGCUGGACAUCGGCCCGCUCCCCACAAUGAAAUAAAGUUAUUUUCUCAUUCCCA